GGAGUAUCUUUUAUAUUCCUAUUAGUAGUUUAAUUCAUAUUAGAGAUGUAAUGCUAUAAGGUUAAGGAUUCUACCAAUCCUAAUACUAUAAAUAAGGGUACAAAGGGGUGAAUCAACACACACCUCAUAAUUAUAUAUAUAUUUCGUCUUUCUCUAAUGCCGCCGGCCAUUCUUCCUCUAUGUCCUAAAUACAGUUCAGUUAAAUAGACCUACAACACGUUAUCAGCACACUCUUGCCAGAAGCUAAGGAACUGAAGGAUCGUGGAGGAAGCUUUCUUCUACAAAUUCAAAGGCUUUCAAUUGUUUUAUGCCAAUCAGUCUCACUUGGGGAUAUGUCGAACUUGAACAAGCUCGAUUUCACCGCUCUAGAAGUCUCUGGAAGAAACUACCUGAAGUGGGUUCAAGACGUGAAGCUCCAUCUUACUACAAAGAGUCUCAGAGCUACGAUUGA
Molecule: small RNA, 451 nt
Filed under: Malus domestica (apple)
Lineage: Eukaryota; Viridiplantae; Streptophyta; Magnoliopsida; Rosales; Rosaceae
Description: sRNA MD16G0138400
Source: RNAcentral